Hevea brasiliensis (rubber tree) is the source of this 570-nucleotide long non-coding RNA. RefSeq lists it as uncharacterized. The transcript has 2 exons. The record is from RefSeq and is a predicted model, not a curated record. NCBI's taxonomy places the organism in Eukaryota, Viridiplantae, Streptophyta, Magnoliopsida, Malpighiales, Euphorbiaceae.
UUAUUACUCUUAAUAAAGUUAGUUCAGACGAGCAGAGAAGUAGAUUUAUUCUUAAACCCAAAGGGCUCAGAAGCCACACUCUUCUAACCCAUUAGCAUUCUUUAAAAAUGUAGAACAUAGUCUCCGCAGCUUCAUCACCACGAGGACACAUCAAAGGGAGAUUCAUGCAAAAGGCGCCACAUGAAAACACAAAUUUUUGAAGGACCCUUCAAACUCUACACUUUAUUCCACUCCAUUAGGCAGACUCUAAAAGCAGAGGAAGAUUCUUGCAUUGAAAGCGCAAGGUAGUAGAAUCCGGGGAAGCAACACCACCACGAGCAGCACUGGAGACCACCGGCCAUGGAUGGUAGAAAGCCUACCCAAGAGGCCUCAAACACGCAGAAAACAACCCAGGAUCCACUAGUGCCAAGCUAGGCUCCAAAACAGGGAUAGAAGAACUUAAGGCCAUAGAGGUGUUGAACGACAGAGGAGAUUAGGAAAAGAAUCAAAAUUAGGAGAAAAUCAAAUCCACUGUAAUUGAAUUUGUUUAAUUCUAUUCUAUUUGAUUUAUCAAUUUGAAUUUCUUCUUAA